GACGGCCAAGACCUUCUGCCCUUGCUCCUGGGGACAGCCCAACACUCAGACCACGAGUUCCUGAUGCAUUAUUGUGAGAGGUUUCUGCACGCAGCCAGGUGGCAUCAACGGGACAGAGGAACAAUGUGGAAAGUCCACUUUGUGACCCCAGUGUUCCAGCCAGAGGGAGCCGGUGCCUGCUAUGGAAGAAAGGUCUGCCCGUGCUUUGGGGAAAAAGUAGUCCACCACGAUCCACCUUUGCUCUUUGACCUCUCAAGAGACCCUUCUGAGACCCACAUCCUCACACCAGCCUCAGAGCCCGUGUUCUAUCAGGUGAUGGAACGAGUCCAGCAGGCGGUGCGGGAACACCAGCGGACACUCAGCCCAGUUCCUCUGCAGCUGGACAGGCUGGGCAACAUCUGGAGACCGUGGCUGCAGCCCUGCUGUGGCCCGUUCCCCCUCUGCUGGUGCCUUAGGGAAGAUGACCCACAAUAAAUCUCUGCAGUGAAAAGCUGGAGCCCCGAUUCCUAAAUUUUG
Molecule: long non-coding RNA, 516 nt
Filed under: Pan troglodytes (chimpanzee)
Lineage: Eukaryota; Metazoa; Chordata; Mammalia; Primates; Hominidae
Description: long non-coding RNA NONPTRT018420
Source: RNAcentral